UCAAACUUGGUCAUUUAGAGGAAGUAAAAGUCGUAACAAGGUUUCCGUAGGUGAACCUGCGGAAGGAUCAUUAACAGGCGUCCAUCAGUGGACUGCGCAUUGUGCUGUGUGAGGUGUGCGUGUUUCUUGGCCAUGGUCUUGCGGCUGUGGCCAAGAGGCUGCCCUUUAUUUUCUCCUUUUACGCGUGUCUGAUUUCUUUUUGCAAACCAACAAAACUGCCAGCAAUGGAUCCCUCGGUUCUCGCAUCGAUGAAGAACGCAGC
Molecule: unclassified non-coding RNA, 262 nt
Filed under: uncultured fungus
Lineage: Eukaryota; Fungi
Description: partial contains small subunit ribosomal RNA, internal transcribed spacer 1, and 5.8S ribosomal RNA
Rfam family: Eukaryotic small subunit ribosomal RNA (bases 1-73)
Source: RNAcentral